AAAAGCAGCAGCUUCAAUAACUAGUUGAACAGUCUAGAAAACGUCAGAUCUAUCGACUCCAUGGGUAUUUUCCAUUUUUCGCCUGAACUAGCACUGAUUCACAUCGCCCGGUUAUUUAAUAAUUGAAUAAUGCACUAUUAAGCCGGCAACUUCGUAUUCAAAUGGCCGUUGCUGUGUGUAGUUAGUGCGUUGUGUGCGGUGGGAAUGAUGACGAAGCCUGAGAAAGUGGCUCACCAUUGCUGCUCCGCUCCGCGCUGCUCGGCUCUGCUCUGCUCCCAAUGGCCGUUUGCUUUCGCCUUAUCUAAUCAACAAGUUUCUUGACUUUUAUGAGCCAGCACAAGCUUUGAACCCUGCAAAAGCCAAAGAGCAAAAUAAAAGAAAAACAAGGCAACCGAAAUGCGGUGUGGCAGCAGAUGGCGGCGACUGCUGCUUGAUUGAGGUGCAACAAUUUGUCUGCAAUUGGAGGCGCAACAGCAGCAGCAACUUCGGCCCAAAAAUACAAUCGAGUGUGCCUGGCAAAAGCAGUCGGACGGGUUUGCCUCCCCGCGCCACCGCGGCCAUUCCCAUUCUGAAACCCACUCCCAUUGCCAGUCCCAUUCUCAUUCCUGAACCGCUUCCUCCAUUAAGCGCUCCAAGUGACCGGCCGGUCUGCAGCGGAUUCCGAUAUCCAAAGGCGGGCCGAACAUGCACAGCCAUUUCUUCGUGAGUCGGAGUUGGUUUCAUUUCGUAUUCCCUGCACUCGCUCCCUUGUCGCAGUCGACGUUCCAGUCUCAUUUUCAGCCAGGAAGUUCGUUGUCGCCUGCUGUCGCCCCUGCCACGCCCCCUUCCUCGGCCGAGUCCCCCCAUUUGCUGCAGUACCUUUCCACACCCCCUUGGCUACACAGGGAGAAACGUGGCUCACUUCGUUUUAGACCAGUAACUCAAUAACCGCAGAAUGGAAUCGUUUGGUGUCCCCGGCAUUUAUGUGGCUUUUCAUUUACAUGCCAACAUUUGUUUCCCUUGGCAGUUGGCAACAAGGCUUGAGGACUAAGGACUGAGGAUUGAGCACCGCAGACCGAAGACCGUGGAGUGGGCAAUGAGUCAUCGGAGGAAGAGUUGGGGACUGCAGAGUGCAGCAGGGCGAACGCAUUGCAGUUGGCUACUUUUCGUAGCAACCUGGUUUCGAUGAUAGAGAUAACUCAACGGAGGAGCCCGCAUGCUGUCCAAUUGAGAGGCCACAAUCUGGGGCACACCAUUCGUGGGAGACUGGGCUUCUGGACCUGGGCCAAGCGGAAGUUUAAGAGCAAUCAUGUAAUGUGCUGAUCCGGAAAUGCGUAAAUCAAAUGAAAUGCAGUGUCGGCGGAGUGGUAAUAUAUGACCCCAAUUUGGCCAUAGUGCCCACAAAUCAAAGCCAAUUUGCCAAAUUACUUCGUGGGGCAAAAUAACCUGAGGGGCGCCAAGGACACCCACAACUCAAUUGCCAGGUGGGCGGCCCUCGAAAACGUCUCCCCGCGGAAAACACGAAUAGAAAGCGCCGCCGGCGAAGACAAAACAAUUUCGUUUGCCGCGAUGUCGCGCAAUUGAAAGUUUUGUCUUCGAUUUGCAUUUGCAUUCAAAAAGGAAAGGAAGCCAAAUUGUGCGAAAUUGUUCGAAAUUGUUGGGGAAUUGCUUUCGCUUUCACACACAAU
Drosophila simulans is the source of this 1667-nucleotide long non-coding RNA. RefSeq lists it as uncharacterized. The transcript has 2 exons. The record is from RefSeq and is a predicted model, not a curated record. Lineage: Eukaryota; Metazoa; Arthropoda; Insecta; Diptera; Drosophilidae.